This 1484-nucleotide long non-coding RNA is filed under the name Homo sapiens (human). Its description in RNAcentral is "uncharacterized LOC441052 (LOC441052)". The record is from RNAcentral. Lineage: Eukaryota; Metazoa; Chordata; Mammalia; Primates; Hominidae.
CGAGCACCUAAAGGGCAAUAUUUUUUGAUCUCCUCUUCUCGUAAAGGGGAUGGAGGCGGAGAAACCGAAGUCUGUGCUGGGCUUGGAAGCGGACGAGGGCGCUGCGAGGAGGAGCGGAAGGCGGAGAUGCGCCGCGGCUGCACACGGUCGCCCGCGCCCCACUCCCCGGCGCCUGCCUUCCGCGGAGACGUCGCUGGUGUCUGCCACGUGCGGCAGCCCGGAGCCCAGGAGGGGAGGGCGGGCCGCCUGGCGGGGGUGGGCAAUGCCUCCCGGCCUCCAGACGCUAUAUAAACAGACCCGGACGCGAGGCAGCGGCGGAGGGCGAGCGUGACGCUGGAGGAGGAGUGGGAGCUCCCAGCCUGCGCGGGUCCUCUCUUUACCUGCCAGGGCUUUUCCGGGUAAUCUGGGACCGACAGGGAUGCCAGCACCCCGUCAUCUCACCCAAAGGGCGCCAGGCCAGAGAUUCCUGGGGAAAAGUCGCCGGCUGCAGGCGGUUGUCCCAGGAAUUCCUCCAUGGUGCCGGCGGGAGCGCGGCGAGCCGGGGCGCGGCGGCUGCGGGAGGUGGAGGCGACCCGGGACAGGGCCGGUCCCAGGGAGAGGGGAUCCCCCGAGCCGCGCGUUCCGCCGUUCAGGCCAGGUAGGGGGUGGGGAAGGAGGAGGAAGAGGAUCCCGAAGCAAGACAGAGCUGAGGCUCAGAGUUCUCAGGCAGCAGCUUCUGGAGGACACCGUGGAGACCCAAGGCGGCUUUAUUUGGGUCUGCAAACACCCGGGGCCCCGGUUAAGAUUCGGCAGGGCCACCCCGCUCCUCCCCCGCCUUGCACGACCGCACUCCGCGCGCCUUGUCACUGCGAGGGCUACCUGUCCUCGCACACUCCUCCGCGAUGGCCAGAAAACGUGGGACUCGAGAUAAGACUCUGGCAGAUGGUACUCCUCCCUCCGCCUAACGUAUCAAUGCACCAACGCCCCUGACCGCACACUCAGGAACCUGUGGCAGCCUCGCCAAGGGACAGCGUGCCCAGCACCGUGCACUGGGCACUCUUGGAUCUGGAGCUCACAACUCCGGAAGGAAUGGGGACUUAGAUGAGGUGACAGACAUGCAUGCAUGCAAUGCAGGCUGAAUCCGCCUGUCUGGAGCCAAAAAUAAACGCCAUGGUCACCUCUUUGUUACAACCUGGAUAUGAUGCCCACAUGCGUGGGGUAGACAUGCUUGGGAUAGAUAAGCCUGUGGACUUCAGACGGUAUUUUCUCUUUCCCUUUUUUCUUCUUUCUCGUCCUCAUCUCUGUCCCUCCCUCCUUUUCUUCUCGCCCUAUCUCUUCCUCCCUUUCUACUCUCUCUAGUGUCUCACUUGAGAAAGACCUAGAUUUGAGUGGGAAGAGUUAUGCCUUAAACUGUUCUCAUUAUAAAUUCAAAAUGUACUUGAAGAAUACAGAUCGACUGUAUGAUGGCAUGAAUAAAGCGCUAUGCUGUAAAAAAAAAAAAAAAA